RNAcentral lists this ribosomal RNA (405 nucleotides) under uncultured bacterium. RNAcentral describes it as "bacterial SSU rRNA". It matches the Rfam family "Bacterial small subunit ribosomal RNA", at positions 28 to 433 of the family's 1533-position model. The record is from RNAcentral.
GACGAACGCUGGCGGCGUGCUUAACACAUGCAAGUCGAGCGGUAAGGCCCUUUCGGGGGUACACGAGCGGCGAACGGGUGAGUAACACGUGGGUGACCUGCCUUUAGCUCUGGGAUAAGCCUGGGAAACUGGGUCUAAUACCGGAUAUGACUCCGCGGUGCAUGCUGUGGGGUGGAAAGCCUUGUGCGGCUGGAGAUGGGCCCGCGGCCUAUCAGCUUGUUGGUGGGGUGANGGGCCUACCAAGGCGACGACGGGUAGCCGGCCUGAGAGGGCGACCGGCCACACUGGGACUGAGACACGGCCCAGACUCCUACGGGAGGCAGCAGUGGGGAAUAUUGGACAAUGGGCGCAAGCCUGAUCCAGCGAUGCCGCGUGUGUGAAGAAGGCCUGCGGGUUGUAAAGCAC